Molecule: RNA transcript, 1480 nt
Organism: Rhododendron vialii
Lineage: Eukaryota; Viridiplantae; Streptophyta; Magnoliopsida; Ericales; Ericaceae
Exons: 6
Source: RefSeq, a predicted model, not a curated record
GAUAGCGUUUUUUUAAAAAAUGCUAUUGUAAAGAGGCAAUUAUAGCGUUCAGCCAUUUAGCACCAAAAGAAACGCUCGCGCCCUAUUUAUUAUAGCAUCCCACAAGUCUUCAAUAGCGUUUCACUCUUUACAAAAUGAAAACCAGCGUUUCACCCUCCCCAGAUUUUCCCCUUUUCAACCCCUCUCUCUCUCUCUCUCUCUCUCUCUCUCUCUCUCUCAAAACAAUGGCGUACGACAGAAGGGGGAGGGGGAAGGCGGCAACUCCUCCUCUCCUCCCCCCAACCCCCACCAUCGCUGCCCUUCCUCUCUGCCAAUCGAACCGAGCUACCGACGGUCGUCACCAUCGAACUGCGCCGAUCCUCGUCGAUUAAAUCACCUCGCCUGAUCUGUACGGACUCUCCCUCUCAGCCGAUCUUGCCCUUGUAUCCCGCCGGAUGUCGUUUUAACACGCCGACUAUCGUCAACCAACGUUCUCGCCCCAACCACCAUUUGCCGUCGAUUUGCCUUCGCAAGGGCCGUCUGUUUAGGUUUCGGAUCGAUUGCUACUGUGCUAAGGUUUCAAUCUUGAGUUCGUUUUGUCUUCCACCCAAAGGGCUUGCGUGGAUUUGUGGCCAUGGAGGAUCUAUCAGAGAUAUAUGAGAAGUGAGAACGCUCCAUGAAUUAGCCACUAAGAUUGGAGACAAAGAGCAAAAGAAGGUGCCAAUCCUCUUCCAUAUCCUAAGCCAAUUAAUUGCUUAGGAUGACCGCUUGAAACCCAAUGAUAGAUAUGAAGUUCGGCGAGCGGAUCCAUAAGACGAUAAUGUUGAUGUGCCUCUUGCUUGAAAUAACGGUUGUGUAAGUCUCAAACUCUACAGUAACCAAGAGAGAAUAUGGGAGUUACAAAUUGCGUUUAGUCCAAAUAGGAUAAAGGGGACAUGGGGGUGAGGAAAAGGAGACUUGGACGAAGGAAGGAUAGACUUUGGUUUUUUUCUCUUGUCUAUGUGAAGGUUGGAUACUUUGAUCUUGAGAGACUAAGGAAUCGUCAAAUGAGCAGCUUUUGGAGUUGGGGAAAGUGCUUGGUCAGAUUAGGUUUAUCCGUGGAAGCUGCUGCUGGAAGAGAUACCAAGCCAACAUUAACAGACUCAGUACCUUCCCCUUCACUUUCCAAAGCUCGUUCUGAAACAGAUGGAAUAGCUGAAACUGGAGCUUCCUCCUCAUCAGACACAACAGACUUGGUAACAACAGCUUGUCUACCACCCAAGCUAUCAAUUCUACUACAAGAGACAUCUGAAAUUGAAGUCUUGCUAUCACUGUUUGAACUAGGGGAAGUUUUAUCAUUUGUAUCAUCUAAUUAGUCAGACUCUUUUAUGUAGUUUUUGUCGGGGAAUUGUUUUCCCCGCUAAUGUAAUGAAUCUUUAUUCAAUGGUUGAAUUGUAUAUUGUACAUUGAUGGUUGGAUAUAGUUGGUGUUGAAUGGAAUAUUUCAUUUUUGUUUUUUCUUA